Molecule: long non-coding RNA, 814 nt
Filed under: Physcomitrium patens
Lineage: Eukaryota; Viridiplantae; Streptophyta; Bryopsida; Funariales; Funariaceae
Description: long non-coding RNA (PPAT_LNC001623)
Source: RNAcentral
UGACCUAAUUCAUCCAAGAUUCAUCCUAAAAAUUAAAGAAAAUUGGAAGUCGCCUCCUUCCAGUCAUGGUAUCGACCCCCUUGCACGAAUUCCACUACAAUGGUUGCAUCACUAACUUGUUUAUAACAAGCUUUACUAUUUUAGAAAGAAGACUUACAAGCGCUUGUCCUCCAACAAAAUUCAAUGCAAAACAACAAUUAAGCUAAAAGAAAUCUUGCCUCAAAGUUUCCUGACUUUCUCGGUCUAGUCAGAGUACCCCUGGCUACAAAAACCCUUGUCCUUGCUCCAUUCCAGUUGUGCAACGCAUAUGCUUUAGCAUUCCAGAAACUAGAAUUGAAGCCGCAUCACCUCCAACAAUUUUUUCUUGAAAAUCUUGAGUGAAUUCCAAGAUAUGACCUUCCAAAGUAGCUUGAGUUGGCGGAGUGCUACAUCUUCACCACGGCCGACUCCUCUUCACUCCAACCACCAGAACUUCCUUGGCCUUUACUCAAUCUAAGCGUGCAAAUAGUUCUUGCAAAGCUGACAACAAGAACCAUCCACCACAAAAGUUUCAGCUCCAAAUUCAAUACUGUCCGCCAACAAUCGCCUUCCAAAGUCGGACCUCCAGAUCUGGCCGGCAGCUGACCUCCUUGUCACUAAAACACCACAACUUUCUUGUUUUCUCCCAAACAAAGCGUGCCUACUGUCCCGAGGAAGCUAACGACAAGAUCUAACUAUUGGUAAAGUUUGACGUUCUAUUUCCAAAUAACUAAUACACUACAGCUGCACAAUUGCAGCUCUAUAGAAACAAGGAUACGUGGGGAAGCAAUUUGGC